This is a non-coding RNA of Pelobates cultripes (western spadefoot toad), 260 nucleotides long. The record is from the annotation of a GenBank genome assembly. Lineage: Eukaryota; Metazoa; Chordata; Amphibia; Anura; Pelobatidae.
UCACAAGCCUCUGCUAUUGUGUACAUAGUUUAUACUAAGUGACCCAUAGGUUAAAGGAGGCGGUGACCGUGGCGGUGUAGGUGGAAGCAGCGGUGGAGGAGGUAGCCAACACUGUUUUUCAUAUACAUAUACAUGGUGACCACGGGUAACGGGGAAUCAGGGUUCGAUUUCUGAGAGUGAGCCUGAGAAACGGCUACCACAUGCAAGGAAGGCAGCAGGCGCGCAAAUCACCCACUCCCGACGCGGGAAGGUAGUGAUGA